AAAAGGUGGCUAUGCUACCGCUUUUGGAUGGGCCCGCGGUGCAUUAGCUAGUUGGUGGGGUAAAGGCUUACCAAGGCAAUGAUGCGUAGCCGAACUGAGAGGUUGAUCGGCCACAUUGGGACUGAGACACGGCCCAAACUCCUACGGGAGGCAGCAGUAGGGAAUCUUCCACAAUGGGCGAAAGCCUGAUGGAGCAACGCCGCGUGGGUGAAGAAGGUCUUCGGAUCGUAAAACCCUGUUGUUAGAGAAGAAAGUGCGUGAGAGUAACUGUUCACGUUUCGACGGUAUCUAACCAGAAAGCCACGGCUAACUACGUGCCAGCAGCCGCGGUAAUACGUAGGUGGCAAGCGUUAUCCGGAUUUAUUGGGCGUAAAGGGAACGCAGGCGGUCUUUUAAGUCUGAUGUGAAAGCCUUCGGCUUAACCGGAGUAGUGCAUUGGAAACUGGGAGACUUGAGUGCAGAAGAGGAGAGUGGAACUCCAUGCGUAGCGGUGAAAUGCGUAGAUAUAUGGAAGAACACCAGUGGCGAAAGCGGCUCUCUGGUCUGUAACUGACGCUGAGGUUCGAAAGCGUGGGUAGCAAACAGGAUUAGAUACCCUGGUAGUCCACGCCGUAAACGAUGAAUGCUAAGUGUUGGAGGGUUUCCGCCCUUCA
RNAcentral lists this ribosomal RNA (653 nucleotides) under uncultured bacterium. RNAcentral describes it as "bacterial SSU rRNA". It matches the Rfam family "Bacterial small subunit ribosomal RNA", at positions 202 to 842 of the family's 1533-position model. The record is from RNAcentral.